AUUGAACGCUGGCGGCAUGCCUUACACAUGCAAGUCGAACGGCAGCACGGGAGCAAUCCUGGUGGCGAGUGGCGAACGGGUGAGUAAAGUAUCGGAACGUGCCCAGUCGUGGGGGAUAACGUAGCGAAAGUUACGCUAAUACCGCAUACGAUCUAUGGAUGAAAGCGGGGGAUCGCAAGACCUCGCGCGACUGGAGCGGCCGAUAUCAGAUUAGGUAGUUGGUGGGGUGAAGGCUCAACAAGCCGACGAUCUGUAGCUGGUUGGAGGGGACGACCAGCCACAAUGGAACCGAGACACGGCCUAGACUCCUACGGGAGUCAGCAGUGGGGAAUUUUGGACAGUGGGCGCAAGCCUGAUACAGCCAUGACGCGUGCAGGAUGAAGGCCUUCGGGUUGUAAACUGCUUUUGUACGGAACGAAAAGGUUUGGCCUAAUAAGCUGAGCUCAUGACGGUACCGUAAGAAUAAGCACCGGCUAACUACGUGCCAGCCGCCGCAGUAA
Molecule: ribosomal RNA, 500 nt
Filed under: uncultured bacterium
Lineage: Bacteria
Description: partial 16S ribosomal RNA
Rfam family: Bacterial small subunit ribosomal RNA
Source: RNAcentral